AAUAUUGCGCAAUGGACGGAAGUCUGACGCAGCGACGCCGCGUGAGCGAUGAAGGCCUUCGGGUCGUAAAGCUCUGUCCUUGGGGAAGAAGGUCUUCGGUCUUGACGGUACCCAAGAAGAAAGCCCCGGCUAACCACGUUCCAGCAGCCUCGGUAAUACGGAGGGGGCGCGCGUUGUCCGGAAUUACUGGGCGUAAAGGGUGCGUAGGCGGCCCUUUAAGUCAGAUGUGAAAGGCCACGGCUUAACCGUGGGAUUGCAUUUGAAACUGGAGGGCUUGAGUGUCGGAGAGGGUAGUGGAAUUCCCAGUGUAGCGGUGAAAUGCGUAGAUAUUGGGAGGAACACCAGUGGCGAAGGCGACUACCUGGACGAAAACUGACGCUGAGGCACGAAAGCUAGGGGAGCAAAC
RNAcentral lists this ribosomal RNA (406 nucleotides) under uncultured bacterium. RNAcentral describes it as "partial 16S ribosomal RNA". It matches the Rfam family "Bacterial small subunit ribosomal RNA", at positions 360 to 773 of the family's 1533-position model. The record is from RNAcentral.